GUUUAUAGUGUAGACCCUGGUCACAGGGAACACCAAAGACCCAAUUGUUAUAAACCAUCAGUAGAACUCUGUUAUCCUUUGUAGUUAAACACAGAUACCAAAUCUUUCAGGCAUGUUGGCUGUGGCAGUGCCAUUUAUUAUAUUAUUAGAAGGGUUUAGCAGCCAUCUCAAAAAAAUAAAUAAAUUAUAAAUAAGAGGGACACAGCUAGUAAGAGUAAGAAAGAGGUUUCCCCACUGCCUCUCUAUCCUAUCCUUAUGUUCACCAACUUCUCCAUGUGAGGGAUCCUGCUGUGAUACCUCCCAGGUCUGCUCAUUAAACAUUUUCCCAUGUGGUUCCACUAUCUUAGGACAGUCUUUCCUUAGCACCAACUCUCUGUCCUCAGUCUUGGUUACUUCAUCUGAAACAAAGAAAAAGGCUAGGUAAAUGUCACUUGUUCCCUGAGCCUAUGGGAAGGUGACUAUGUCUAUAAAAAUAUAUCAUAGAAAAGGAAGUGGGCUAGAAACAGAAGGGCUAGUGUGGUAACACUUUCCCCUACGUAGGGAGGAACGUUUGCCCUCUUUGGCAUAAUGCAGGUCAGUCCAUCCCCAUGUAGACUUGGCCUGAGUCGUUGUUUUUUGUUUUGUUUUUUGAGCCAGAGUGUCACUCUGUAGCCCAGGCUGGAGUGCAAUGGUGUGAUCUCAGCUCACUGCAGCCUCCAUUUCCCAGGUUCAAGCGAUUCUCCUGCCUCAGUCUCCCAAGUAGUUGAAACUACAGGCACGCACCCCCACGCCCAACUAAUUUUGUAUUUUUAGUACAGACGCGGUUUCGCCAUGUUGGCCAUCCUGGUCUUGAACUCCUGACCUCAGGUGAUCCACCCACCUCGGCCUCCCAAAAUGCUGCGAUUACAGGUGUGAGCCACUGCACCCAGCUGGCAGUACCUUUUUUAUACUUCAUAGGGAGGGAUGGUUAAAGAUUAGGGUGGCUUCUCUGGAGUAUUCCCUUACACCUCUCUCUCCUUUCUGAGAUAACCUCAAAGUGACCCUUUCCAAGGAAAGUUACUUCAUGUAUUCAUUCAUUCAUUUUCAGAACAAGUAUUAAACUUCUACUACUUAGGUGCUUCAGGCAGUCCAGUAGUCCCCACUUAUCUGUGGUUUUGCCUUUACAAAGUUUCAGCUACCCACAGUCAAUCACAGUUCAAAUAUACUACAUGGAAGAUUCCAGAGGCAAACAAUUUUUUUUUUUUUUUUUUGAGACGGAGUCUCACUCUGUUGCCCCUUGGCUCACUGUAAUCUCCGCUUCCCGGAUUCAAGCGAUUCUCCUGCCUCAGCCUCCCGAGUAGCUGGGACUACAGGCACACAUCACCAUGCCUGGCUAAUUUUUUGUUUGUUUGUAUUUUUAGUAGAGAUGAGAUUUCGUCAUGCUGGCCAGGCUGGUCUCAAACUCCUGGCCUCAUGAUCCAUCCGCCUUGGCCUCCCAAAGUGCUGGGAUUACAGGCGUGAGCCACCACGCCCAGCACAAACAAUUCUUAAGUUUUAAAUUUGGCACCAUUCUGAGUAGUAUGAUGAAAUCUCAUGCCAUCUGGCUCUGUCUCACCCAGGACAUGAGUCUUCCUUUUGUCCAGCAUAUCCACACUGUACAUGCUGCCUGCCUGUUGCACACAUAGUAGCCAUCUUGGUUAUGAGAUUGACUGUUGCAGUGUCUCAGUGCUUGUGUUUACAUACCCCUUAUUUUACUUAAUAAUGGCCCCAAAGUGCAAAAGUAGUGAGGCUGGCAUAUUAUUAUAAUUGUAAUUGUUCCAUUUUAUUAUUAGUUAUUGUUGUUAAUCUCUUACUAUGCCUAAUUUAUAAAUUAAACUUUAUCUUAGGUAUGUAUAGGAAAAAAAUAGUAUAUACAGGGUUCAGUAUUACCCUUGGUUUCAGGCAUCUACUGGGGGUCUUGGAAUGUAUCCCCCUUGAAUAGUGAGGACUACUAUACUUUAUGAAUUUCAAAUCCACAAUUAUCCAAGGUGCAUUCCCAUCAUAAGACCUUUGCUCUAGUGCUUCUCUCUUCCUGGAAACUUC
Molecule: long non-coding RNA, 2040 nt
Filed under: Homo sapiens (human)
Lineage: Eukaryota; Metazoa; Chordata; Mammalia; Primates; Hominidae
Description: HSALNT0103266
Source: RNAcentral